Grammomys surdaster is the source of this 144-nucleotide small nucleolar RNA. RefSeq annotates it as small nucleolar RNA SNORA48. The transcript has a single exon. The record is from RefSeq and is a predicted model, not a curated record. Lineage: Eukaryota; Metazoa; Chordata; Mammalia; Rodentia; Muridae.
AACCCUUGACAAUGGGCAAAAAGACACCUUGUUGAUGGUGUUACUGUCAUAUCAAUCAGGGGCAGAGAAGAUGGCAGUCCUUUAUUCAUCCUAGCUUGAUGCCUGGCUUGGUAGCUAAAGCUGUCUUAUGCCUAAGAUUUGAUA